RNAcentral lists this ribosomal RNA (497 nucleotides) under uncultured bacterium. RNAcentral describes it as "partial 16S ribosomal RNA". It matches the Rfam family "Bacterial small subunit ribosomal RNA", at positions 28 to 507 of the family's 1533-position model. The record is from RNAcentral.
GAUGAACGCUGGCGGCGUGCCUAAUACAUGCAAGUCGAGCGAACAGACGAGGAGCUUGCUCCUCUGACGUUAGCGGCGGACGGGUGAGUAACACGUGGAUAACCUACCUAUAAGACUGGGAUAACUUCGGGAAACCGGAGCUAAUACCGGAUAAUAUAUUGAACCGCAUGGUUCAAUAGUGAAAGACGGUUUUGCUGUCACUUAUAGAUGGAUCCGCGCCGCAUUAGCUAGUUGGUAAGGUAACGGCUUACCAAGGCAACGAUGCGUAGCCGACCUGAGAGGGUGAUCGGCCACACAGGAACUGAGACACGGUCCAGACUCCUACGGGAGGCAGCAGUAGGGAAUCUUCCGCAAUGGGCGAAAGCUUGACGGAGCAACGCCGCGUGAGUGAUGAAGGUCUUCGGAUCGUAAAACUCUGUUAUUAGGGAAGAACAAAUGUGUAAGUAACUAUGCACGUCUUGACGGUACCUAAUCAGAAAGCCACGGCUAACUACGUG